Pteropus alecto (black flying fox) is the source of this 74-nucleotide non-coding RNA. The record is from Rfam. NCBI's taxonomy places the organism in Eukaryota, Metazoa, Chordata, Mammalia, Chiroptera, Pteropodidae.
GGCUCCAUAGUGUAGUGGUUAGCAUAUCUGCUUUACACGCAGAAGGUCCUGGGUUCGCACCCCAGGUGGAGCCA